GUUAGGAAUAUUGGACAAUGGGCGCAAGCCUGAUCCAGUCAUGCCGCGUGAGUGAUGAAGGCCUUCGGGUUGUAAAGCUCUUUAGUCCACGAAUAUAAUGACUGUAGUGGAAGAAUAAGCCCCGGCUAACUUCGUGCCAGCAGCCGCGGUAAUACGAAGGGGGCGAGCGUUACUCGGAAUCACUGGGCGUAAAGCGUGCGUAGGCUGUUUUGUAAGUCAGAAGUGAAAGCCCAGGGCUUAACCCUGGAAUUGCUUUUGAAACUACAAGUCUCGAAUUCGGGAGAGGAUAGCGGAAUUGUCAGUGUAGCAGUGAAAUGCGUAGAUAUUGACAGGAACACCAGUGGCGCAAGCGGCUAUCUGGACCGAUAUUGACGCUGAGGCACGAAAGCGUGGGGAGCAAACAGGAUUAGACACCCUGGUAGUCC
This 425-nucleotide ribosomal RNA is filed under the name uncultured bacterium. RNAcentral describes it as "partial 16S ribosomal RNA". It matches the Rfam family "Bacterial small subunit ribosomal RNA", at positions 354 to 796 of the family's 1533-position model. The record is from RNAcentral.